This is a non-coding RNA of Arabis alpina (gray rockcress), 91 nucleotides long. The record is from Rfam. NCBI's taxonomy places the organism in Eukaryota, Viridiplantae, Streptophyta, Magnoliopsida, Brassicales, Brassicaceae.
GCCUCUUGAUGAUGAUCAAAAUCAUAACUUUCGUUCUUCCGAGAUAAUAAUACAUGCGGAAAAACUAUGGAGACCUGAACUGAAUAUAGGC